Molecule: non-coding RNA, 4643 nt
Organism: Physcomitrium patens
Lineage: Eukaryota; Viridiplantae; Streptophyta; Bryopsida; Funariales; Funariaceae
Source: RefSeq, a predicted model, not a curated record
CUCGCAUUCCAUUCUAAGAUCUCCUGCGUUGAAAAAUUGGGGCGUGCUUCUCUGUGACCGGAUACGUGCCUUAGACAUUGCUAUUCAGAUCCGGCAACCCUGGUGAAGUCUUGGCCAAGCAAACUCUCCCGUUUUGGAUAUGGCCAAUGGGACGAAUUUAAGAAGUGAGGGGUAGCAGCGACGUAGAACCUGGAGCUAUCACUGCUUCCCUAGGUUCGUUGUGGACGCUAGGCGUUCGCAUUUAGAGUGUUGAGCGGGAUUUCGGCACGACGAUGGGGUUGUAGCAACGUACAAACCUCUGUGCCUUGUAAGCAUACGUCUGACAAAGACUGGGUUGCAUCUGUGGGCCACCGAUAGCGACGAAUGCGAGAGAGAUCGGUUAUUUUAGAAGGAAAAAUAAGGGAGGUGUUCAUCCAUCCUGUAUGUCUUGGUGCACGUGCCUGGCAUCGAAGGACCUUCUGUAGAUCUCGCCACUUAUUCAGUGGAGAUGUACACUGUGAAGGAACGUGAGAUGCCAUUACUUCUGCUCGAGGACAAUGCGCAUGGCCGCUAAGUUGUGGCCAAAAUACGGCAGGGUGCAUGGACAAAUGAGACUCAACUUGUCGGGAUUGAGAUUCCUUCAACCUGCACAUUUGCCCUAUUUUCCCUCGAGACGGGAAUCCGUGUAUGCGAUGCCGCAUAUGUUGACCUCAAUGGAAUAUUUUGGGUAAUGAAUUCUUAUCCUCGAGACUCGAGAAUUUCAUCUGUAGCUGGCUCAUGAGUGUGUCACGAUUCACAAUACCGCCAAUUUUGAAUCGGUGAACCCUAGCCGUUCCCUGCAUGAUCUCCGCAAUUUGUUUGAAAAACGACGUGCUGGAUUGACAGGAUUACAGAAUUUUGCGCAGGUUGCAUGUAUUUUUUGGGAAUUUGUCAGUGUUGAUAACAGCACUAGGAGAUGCAUCGAAGCCCUUCCUCCCUAUAUCUAAAACUUUCAUUAAUAGGUUUUUUCUGCACCUUAGAACCAGGACACGGGAUGCCAAGAUGCUAAGCUGCUGCGCUGGUUCUUCACACCGUGCCCAGAAAAGGUCUUAUCUACCUAAUGCAAUACCAGUCAGCGAGAUCACACUCUGGUCGUAAGGAUGGUGCAGUCGGACCCUACUUCAUCGGGUUUGUCAAAUAGAUACUUGUCGGGGAUUAGAGUACUCUCUUGUCGUCGGAGCAAUGUUCAGAAAUUAAUCUGUGGUUUCUUACGCCAUUUGACGAGUUCCAUCAUCUAUAGUUCGCAACUUUAACGUGACUGGGGGUAGACGCAUAUAAGCCCACUGUCGCCGAUUUCUGAGAGAAUUAGGAGAGGUAUUUGCAGUUUGAUGCAACUGUAGGGCAUAGUGCGAUCUUUUGUGGUAGUGGCUGAGGCGUUGUGCAGGUUUUUAGAAGAGGUCGGAAACAAAGAGGAGCUCAAAGCGGGGAAUCAACGCACAGCAAGUGUGUUGGUUCUGAUUGAUUCAGGUAUGGUGGGAACCAGGAGAGUAGAGGGAUCUUCUCAAGCAACUCACACUGAAAUCUCGCCGCUGGAGAGUCUGUUGCAGCGAGCAUGGCUUCAGACUCACAAAUCGAAAGGAUCAAGGCGUUUGUCGUCGGCUCCGCUACCUGAUGUGGCAGAUGAGAAGCGAGGUUUUUCACGAAUUGCAUCUUUGCCAGCGUUCUCAGGAACUCGUUUUCCUCGAUCAGAUGAUCAGGAAGAGUCGGACAAAGUUUACUUUCACAAGUCUAGGCUGGAUGCUUCAACAGUCCUCGUAUCAAGGUUUUCACUUCCCGAAUUGACAAGUUACUCUUCAAAGACGUAUGUUCCACUUUCAGUUUCCCUGGUGCAAUGGACACACUCAGAGCCAGUCGCUGGCCACGGCCUCUCACAAGCAUUGAAGCCCCUGACGAAAUCCUCCACAGAGUCGAGUGAAACUCUGUCAGGCCAGAGCAGACAUUCACUUGGCGCCACAGAAUCUGAAGUCAGUAGCACAAGUUCAGUCGACUUUGAAAGACAGGCACAGCCUAUGGCUAGCUUUCUGGGCGGCAUCCUCACGGACGAAAACCUGGAAGAAGAAAAUCUCCACGAGACUCGUGCUUACCAGGCUAUUGCGAAGGAAAUUGCUGACCUUAUUGGUUUAAAUUCUUCAGUCGAAACUGAGACAUCUGAUAUUGUAGAUUACGAGAGUUGCUGGGCGGAUGCUGAACCCUAUCGUACCGAGGCAGAAAUGCAUAUACUUGAACAGAGUGGCGCUUAUCAAGCUAUGGUGAAGGAAAUUGCUGAACUCAUUUCUCCGCAUCCUGCAGUGAUUGAUACUGAUGAAACUGAUCUUUCGGAUGGCAAGGCCAGCGAUAGUGCCGAUUUCAGACCUACUGAGGAACUCGCGGCUCGGGGGAUGAUGGAGGCCUAUUCCCAUAUACUCACCAGGCACUUAGAGGAUGUGGCUAUUAAUUCUGAUUCCGAUGCAGCUUCCACGAUCAAGUAUAGGACCACUGAAACAGAUACUAUUGUAACUUACUUCAAUGAAGACUGGAAAUUAUACUUGCAAAACCUCAAUCAAAACUUUACUCCCACCUCAAAUUUCGACUUCAACCUGCUUCUCUGUGGCGCAGUUGAAGGGUCAAAAGUUUCAGCGGAUAAUGCUGUCCCUUCCUCCAGUAGCGGUAGUCUGACGGAACUUCUCUACCGGUGUGCGCUCGCAGUGAGUCAGGGCAACGUACGAGAAGCAACUGAUUUGUUAUCUGACCUGCGGCAGAUUUCGUCGCCCAAUGGAAAUGCUACUCAACGCAUGGCACACUAUUUCAUGGAAGCUCUGGUCGCGAAAUUGUCAGGUACUGGUGAAGAGCUAUACAGGGUAAUCAUCAACAACGGCCCUUCUGCUGCGAUUGUGUUCAAAGCUAUUCGCCUAUAUCUCGAGAACUGUCCUUAUUUAAUCUUUGCCCACUUCUUCACAGUAAAAUCAAUAGUAGAUGUUUUUGAAGGCGCUGCCCGUGUUCAUUUGAUAUGCUACGGAAUUCAGUAUGGAGUGGAAUUGCCGAGUCUAAUUCAAUACUUAUCACAAAGGCCGGAAGGAGCACCCCACCUUCGUAUAACAGGUAUUGAUUCACCACAUCCAGGGAACAAUCCUUGCUUGAAAAUAAAUGAAACAGGGCGUAGACUGGCAAUGUUUGCGAAGAAGUGGGGGGUGCCAUUUGAAUAUGUUGCUCUAGCUGGAAGCUGGGAAUCAUUCACAGCUAGAGAUAUGAAUUUGAGGGAAGAUGAAGUGCUUGCAGUGUCAUCACAAGAUUCACUGCACACCCUUCCUGAUGAGUCGGUGAUGGCCACAAGUCCUCGUGAACUUGUAUUUAGAAGGAUCCGAAGUAUGAAUCCCAAGCUGUUCGUUAUGGUGGGAAUGCAUGGAGGCCAUAAUGCUCCAUUUUUCAUGACCCGCUUCCGGGAGAGUGUCAAGCAUUACUCGGCCAUAUAUGAAGGGUUGGACAUAUCUAUGCCUCGUGAUGAUCCGGAUAGAGUCAUCGUUGAAAGAGAAAUUUUCGGUUCGCAGAUUUUAAAUAUUGUUGCGUGUGAAGGACAAGCGAGAGUGGAACGGGCAGAACCAUACCGGCAGUGGCAGAACCGAUUCCAACGAGCAGGGUUCACUCAGUUGCCGAUCUUGGACACAGUUUUCAAUAAAAUGAAAGCCAUGAUGGGUGCUUUUCACAAAGAUUAUGGUGUCGGUAGGGAUGAUGGUUGGUUUCUGAUGGGAAUCCGGAACCAGAUCGUCAAGUUUUGUUCAGCUUGGGAGCCUAAGUGCCCUUAAAACUAUCCUCCAGAUAUCGAGAUUACCAUUUUUUAACCCAAAUUUUCGGAAUUUCACGAGGAAGGACGAAUUUUAAAAUAUGUGUGAGCCCUCAGCCUAUUCUUAUUCUUGAGCAAGCUAUGGAUUCAAAAAGGAUAACUGGCAGGGAACAGUCUACUUGUCCUGUCUCCUGAGAAUGUCAAGUAUGAGGCUCAUCAAUCAGCUUGGUACGCAUCCCCUUAAAGGCAAUUCGAUCUUCGUCUGUCAUAAGCCCUGACAGCUUGAUUAAUCUUGUGAAGCUUACUUCGCAGUUCCAGAAAGGUAAGGCACUGCUCUCGGCAUCGAAGGAUGAAGGAUCAAGUCUUUGCACAUAUCAGCCAUGUGUUUGUUCGGUAUCUCUUCAUUUUCAUCGUGGAUUCCACUUCGACAGUGGUGUUCCCCUGCACCUUCGGAGCUCGUAUAAUCUGGUGGCCUGGCCAGUCUGGUAGAUUUAGUGGGCGUGUUGCAAGAGCUAGGAAAGCUGCAGCUAAGUAUGUUGACCACUGGACUUGGUCCAAACAUAAUGCUGAUCACUGUUCCACAUCUGGGCAGUUGUAUCUCAACCAAUGUGCCGUGUUUCAUUUCCUGCUGACUUUUGUGGACCGGUCUUCGUCACUCCUUAUCCUAGUUUUGCUUCAUCUGAAGAUAGGCUACUGGGUUAGAAUACCGACUCGCAGGAUUCCUUCAUCUUGUAGCGACAUCUUGCAGUGAGCUCUUUAACAGAAUCCGUGAUGUGGUCAGUGUGGAUUGUGGGAGAUUAUAACGAUUAAACAUUGAAACCUAUAUGAGAAAUUCUAAAAAGAGGAAUCGUUUUGCCUCUGGGAUUGA